RNAcentral lists this long non-coding RNA (2048 nucleotides) under Felis catus (domestic cat). RNAcentral describes it as "lncRNA (ENSFCAG00000049475.1)". Lineage: Eukaryota; Metazoa; Chordata; Mammalia; Carnivora; Felidae. The record is from RNAcentral.
UUUCAUUAUUUAAAAAUUUUUUUGAUAUAUGAUGUUUUAAUUUUAUGUGUUUUAUAUUUGAAUCUUUAAAACUAAUUUAAUUUUUUUUCAUUUUAAACAAGAAGUUUAUUUAAACAACAAGACGCUUGACUUGAAGGGAAAACUAACUAGGAUUCAUUUCUUUUAGAGUACUUUAUCCUUACUUAAAGACAGAUUGACCUAUAUGUAAAACCAAUUGUCCUUGGUUUUACAAUGAUAAAUGAAAAACAUUAAAAUUCUCCAAUCAAACAAGGUAUGCAAGGAUUUUUAUGUUGUUAUUUUUUUGUUAAACAGUGAGAGCAAAAUAACUUACUGGAAUAUAAACAUAAGAGCUGAAUGAGCAUACCACUAAUGGAGAAAGGGGGUAUUUUCACAGAACCAGUAUUUUUCCCCAUCCCAUCUCCAUUUGAUGUUGAUCAAAACAUACCAUUGGCCAUUUAGUUAAAAAAAAUGCAAAAUGCUUGUGCACCUACACAGUUACUUUAUGUACAAUAAAUAAGGGCAUGGGGAAGGGGAAAAUGAAAGAAUAGAGAAAACUAUACUGUAAUAGUCAGGAUGUGGUGGAACCAAAUUGCGGUUUUCUAAUUGAGAAUGUCUUCUUGGUCUGGAGGAACAGAGUUCUGGAGUAAAGUAGCAAGUUCCCUUUUUAGUAAACACCUCCUGUCUGCUGCUGGAACACAUCAAUUGUAUCUUCAUCCUCCAUCUCCAACUGUGCAGGUGUGUCUGUUUCAUUGAUUGGCUGCCCAUCAAAUCGGAAUCUGAUCUGCCUCAUUGACAAACACUGUUGUUCACACUAGGCUUUCAUUAGUUUACUAAGUGGUGUAUGCCUCUUAAUCUUAAACUGCACCACUCAUCUGUAAGGGUUUUUGAUUCUUACAGUGUUUUCUUUGGCUCACCCAUGUCUCUGGCUGUAAUCAAGCUUCAGAAGCCAUGUAGUGACACUACUUUAAGUCUGUCAUGGGGAAGGAUCCUCCUGAAGGGAAGAGGAACAUUUUGCUGUAUUAUGUGGGCUGCUCAUUUAAGCCCAUGAUAGCCUGGCACCUGUGUCCUAGUGAAACAAUUCAAUGCGCUUGUGAGUGGGCAGAGAGCCAGUCUAGCAGAUGGUCAUGAGAGAAGGGACCAUGUACCGUGUGAUCAUCAAGUGUGCUUGCCCAGGGCGGGAGUCCCUGCCAGAAAGGUCCAAAUGUCUGCCCUUAGAACUGGAGUCUUAUUUUUGUAAGAAUGCCUAAAAUAGAAAAAAAAAUGUCUGGAAAAGAACUUAACAAAAACAUUUUUUUUUUUUUUUAAUUUGAGCUGGAAACAUAGAAGAGAACUGAGCUGUGUUAAGAGAGACCUUUUGGAAGUUGAAGUGCUUGGUCAUAAGGUACUUACUGUGGAGCUUUUUUUCCUGGGUUAACAAUAGCUCACUAUGAAAUUAGAGAAUGUGGAUAUUCACUGUGCUUGCAUAGAAGUUGUAUCCCAGGCUCAUAGCUUUACCAAUGGGAUGGUUCUGGAAACAUCUGAGGCAAGAGGAGGCCAGAGUCUGUGGCUUACCUGUCUGGAAAUAGGAGUUAGCAGGCAGUUAGGCUGGAAUACAGAAGCCCCCUAGUUUAGAUCGGCCUAAUCCUCUUUCCAGAAAGACAUGUAACAUGAGCCCCAUAUAACGUUUUUGGUUGUCAAACACCCAUGAUAUUGUAGGCACUACCAAUGAAUUUUUCUUUUUUAAAAAUGUUUAUCCUCAUUCAGUUUUCAGUAAAUGUUCAUGUAUUCAUUUUUUCAGAAAUUACUUAUUAUCUUCUCUCACACUGGAAGAGAAUAUGCCUCAUGGUAGUGGAGGUAUAUAGAGAUUUAAAAUCCUGUCUCAAAUUCAAAGGCUCUUUUCAUUUCAUAAGGAAGUAAAAUUAUAUAGAGGUAAAUAUGAAGCAGGAUGUGAAAGGCUAUAAGAAAGGUAGAACAAAAUAAUAUGGAGAGUAAGGGAGAAACAGAGGAAUGGGUUCUUUGUACCCUAUUAGCUUCAGCCAUGCCUGUAGGAAUACGUAGUGUUUAUAACA